GCCUGGGUGGCUCAGUCGGUUAAGCGUCCGACUUCAGCUCGGGUCACAAUCUCGUGGUCCGUGAGUUCGAGCCCCGCGUCAGGCU
This is a non-coding RNA of Felis catus (domestic cat), 85 nucleotides long. NCBI's taxonomy places the organism in Eukaryota, Metazoa, Chordata, Mammalia, Carnivora, Felidae. The record is from Rfam.